This 1131-nucleotide long non-coding RNA is filed under the name Helianthus annuus (common sunflower). RNAcentral describes it as "hypothetical non coding rna". Lineage: Eukaryota; Viridiplantae; Streptophyta; Magnoliopsida; Asterales; Asteraceae. The record is from RNAcentral.
UUAUUUUGAAUAUGAUGGCUUCAAUUCAUCAUAUGGGACCUAUGUUUUGUGAGCAAGUUAACUGAUUUUGAAUAUCACGAGUUUUAAUAAGGAAGUUCGUACAUGAUCACAACAGAAACCAUGUAUACCCUUCAAAAAGAAAAUCGAGUUUUUCAAGAAAUUCAUUGAUUCGAUAUUAAAGAAUCAACGCUUUGUAAAAACGCGGUUUACAAUGCAAAGAUCAAGUAUAGCGAAAUGAUAUUUGAAUUUUUUGAUAAAACAACAGAUUGGAAUGGAGCCUUCCUAUGGUCUUCGUAACUCAAAUGAACCACAUGCACAACAAACAGUGCAUGUGUACCGUGUGGAUUUUCCAAGAAAUGAAAUGAAUCGAUAUUUGCUACUAUGAAAGAAAUCUUUAUGGUAGAAACACGAAAGUCAACUUAUUUAUAGGCAGAAGUCAGAAUUGCAAUGAAAGAAAUAUAAGAACUUUAUCUGAAAUCUCGUGUGAUAACCUUUGUUAAGUGACAUUACCAAGGAAUGUCGAAUGAAAUGAAAUGAAAUAGGGGAUUUGCAAAGGUAGAUGACUUCUUUUGUAGUGCCAAUAAUUAUGACUAUAAUUAGACUGUGCAUCGAUGGUUGUGAAAUAUUGUUCCAACGUACCUCAGCGAUAUUUUGAUCGUUUGUAAGAUCAUGUGGCAAAGUGCCGAUUUUUGAUUAGGAGUUCUUUUACUGAUGGAAUUAGUAUUGGUAUUAUCGUGCUCAAAUUUAUAUUUUUCAAAGAUCUUGGUUUGGAAGUCGUGUGUGAUAACUUUGACGUCUGUGGAUAUAUAAUUUAAGUUUCAUGUGUUUUCUUGUGCACUAGCACAACUUUACCUGCUUCUUACUGGCGUUAAUAGUUUAUGGUAACGCAUUGUAUUAUUUUGUUGCACGAGUUACGAGGUAGAUGAUUAAACGAAAGAAUGUUUGACAUCGAAAUUAAAGAUAUAUGCGAGAGAUUCCUGAUAAAGAAAUCUAUAUACAUAUGCUUGUGCUUUAUUCUUAAUUGACUUUUUGGACUUCCUUAUAGAUAUACAUAUCUAUAUUAUAUAUUUCACAUGUUGUAAUAUACAUACCUUUCAUAGGGUUAAAUAUAUAUAAUAGAUUCAUAUUUCC